Long non-coding RNA from Magallana angulata, 654 nucleotides. RefSeq lists it as uncharacterized. The record is from RefSeq and is a predicted model, not a curated record. The transcript is spliced from 6 exons. NCBI's taxonomy places the organism in Eukaryota, Metazoa, Mollusca, Bivalvia, Ostreida, Ostreidae.
GCAAAAGUGAAAGUAGAGAAGUAGACAGUUUCCGGUGAGGAAAAAUACUUCAUUCUAGCAGUUUCCAGCUAUCUAAGAUUAGUUUGCAUCGUAAGGGAAUUAUAUAAGUGUCCGAUAACAUGUAAAUUGAAAUGGAACUAAUCUUCAAAGAAUAAAACACAACAAUGAGCCACACUUGAUGCUAUGCCUGUCCACUUCCCAAAAGAGAAUACUUGACAUGUGGAUUUCGUUUGAUUCCAGUCAUGGUUGUUAACAGAAGGAUGCAACUGUCCUCAUGCAUCAACAGUUAACUUAAAUUUAAAUGGAAUUAAAGGACAGAAAUUGGUAGUUGUCCUGACUAACUCAAAUUUGGAGGAGAAAAUCCGAAUUGGAGAGAUCUGCCACAAGAACAACAUUAAAUUCAUUUCUGUUGAUUCCAGAGGACUGUUUGUGGAGCUGUUUUGCGACUUUGGAGAUAAUUUCGUGAUGAAUGAUGUGGAUGGGGAGGAGCCCAUCUCAAACAUGGUGGCAUCCAUCACUAAGGAUAAAGAGGGCGUGGUCACUUGUUUGUACGAAGCCCGCCAUGGAUACGAAGACGGGGAUCACGUCACUUUCGCUGAAGUACAAGGAAUGACUGAGCUCAAUGGGUGUAAACCAAUCAAAAUCAAAGUGCUA